Molecule: non-coding RNA, 88 nt
Organism: Paxillus rubicundulus Ve08.2h10
Lineage: Eukaryota; Fungi; Basidiomycota; Agaricomycetes; Boletales; Paxillaceae
Source: Rfam
GCCCGCCUAGCUCAAUCGGAUAGAGCGUCAGACUUUUACGUGCAAGGCGGUGAUCUGAAGGCUGCGAGUUCGACCCUCGCGGUGGGCU